This 549-nucleotide ribosomal RNA is filed under the name Vibrio splendidus 5S-101. RNAcentral describes it as "bacterial SSU rRNA". It matches the Rfam family "Bacterial small subunit ribosomal RNA", at positions 998 to 1533 of the family's 1533-position model. Lineage: Bacteria; Pseudomonadati; Pseudomonadota; Gammaproteobacteria; Vibrionales; Vibrionaceae. The record is from RNAcentral.
CAGCGGAGACGCAGGUGUGCCUUCGGGAGCUCUGAGACAGGUGCUGCAUGGCUGUCGUCAGCUCGUGUUGUGAAAUGUUGGGUUAAGUCCCGCAACGAGCGCAACCCUUAUCCUUGUUUGCCAGCGAGUAAUGUCGGGAACUCCAGGGAGACUGCCGGUGAUAAACCGGAGGAAGGUGGGGACGACGUCAAGUCAUCAUGGCCCUUACGAGUAGGGCUACACACGUGCUACAAUGGCGCAUACAGAGGGCAGCAAGCUAGCGAUAGUGAGCGAAUCCCAAAAAGUGCGUCGUAGUCCGGAUUGGAGUCUGCAACUCGACUCCAUGAAGUCGGAAUCGCUAGUAAUCGUGAAUCAGAAUGUCACGGUGAAUACGUUCCCGGGCCUUGUACACACCGCCCGUCACACCAUGGGAGUGGGCUGCAAAAGAAGUGGGUAGUUUAACCUUUCGGGGAGGACGCUCACCACUUUGUGGUUCAUGACUGGGGUGAAGUCGUAACAAGGUAGCCCUAGGGGAACCUGGGGCUGGAUCACCUCCUUAUACGAAGAUAC